CUAUUUCGUAGUUCAAUCUAUUUCUGAAUAUUGCUUCACUGCACAGCAUAAACAAGUGUCUGAAUAUCAGCAGGAUAUAAAAACAAGACAAUUAUUUGAUAAAAAGAUAUAUGACAUGCAAGAGGUCCACGAUAGUGAGAGCAAUACAUAAAUGAGCGAAAUAAAAAAAAGGAAAUUCACGUCGAUAGUCUCACGUUAUUAACAUAACCUUAUAUAUAUAUACAUACAUCUACAGCCUUUUAUUUAUGUACAUAUAUAAUACAAUUUUUCCUAUUCUCAC
Molecule: unclassified non-coding RNA, 280 nt
Filed under: Bombus terrestris (buff-tailed bumblebee)
Lineage: Eukaryota; Metazoa; Arthropoda; Insecta; Hymenoptera; Apidae
Description: misc RNA ENSBTSG00005029616.1
Source: RNAcentral